CGAUCAUGGCUCAGAUUGAACGCUGGCGGGAUACUUUACCAUGCAGUCAGGCAGCAGCACGGACUUCGGUCUGGUGGCGAGUGGCGAACGGGUGAGUAAUGUGUCGGAACAUUUCAGUAGCGGGGGAUAACUACGCGAAGAAGCGUAGCUAAUACCGCAUACCGCCCACUUCGGGGAAAGCGGGGGACCUUCGGGCCUCGCACUAUUAGGGCGGCCGAUAUCGGAUUAGCUAGUUGGUGGGGUAACGGCUCACCAAGGCGACGAUCCGUAGCUGGUUUGAGAGGACGACCAGCCACACUGGGACUGAGACACAGCUGAACUCCUACGGGAGGCAGCAGUGGGGGAAUUUUGGACAAUGGGGGAAACCCUGAUCCAGCCAUCCCGCGUGUGCGAUGAGGCCUUCCGGGUUGUAAGCACUUUUGGCAGGAAAGAAACGGCACGGGAUAAUACCCCGUGCAACUGACGAGCCUGCAGAAUAAGCACGGCUAACUACGUGCAGCAGCCACUGAAGUAUUACGUAGGGUGCAGCGUUAAUCGGAAUUACUGAACGUAAAGCGUGCGCGAGCGGUUCGGAAGAAAAGAUGUGAAAUCCCGAAGCUUAACUUUGGAACUGCAUUUUUUAACUACCGAGCUGAAAGUGUGUCAGAGGGGUGGAAUUCCGCGUGUAGCAGUGAAAUGCGUAGAUAUGCGGAGGAACACCGAUAGCGAAGGCCUUCUCUGGGAUAACACUGACGCUCAUGCACGAAAACGUGGGGAGCAAACAGGAUUGAUCUCCUGGUAGUCCACGCCCUAAACGAUGUCAACUAGCUGUGAGGGCCUUCGGGCCUUGGUGGCUGUGCGCGUGAAGUUGACCGCCUGGGAAGUACGGUCACCAGACCAAAACUCCGAGAUUGACGGGGACCCGCACAAGCGGUGGAUGAUGUGGAUUAAUUCGAUGCAACGCGAAAAACCUUACCUACCCUUGACAUGUCUGGAAUCCCGAAGAGAUUUGGGAGUGCUCGCAAGAGAACCGGAACACAGGUGCUGCAUGGCUGUCGUCAGCUCGUGUCGUGAGAUGUUGGGUUGAUCCUGGCGAGCGCAACCCUUGUCAUUCGUUGCUACGAGCCUCUAAUGAGACCGCAGGUGACAAACCGGAGGAAGGUGAGGAUGACGUCAAGUCCUCAUGGCCCUUAUGGGUGGGGAUUCACGUCAUACAAUGGUCGGGACAGAGGUCGCCAACCCGCGAGGAGCCAAUCCACGAGAAACCGAUCGUAGUCCGGAUCGCAGUCUGCAACUCUGACCGCGUGAAGUCGGAAUCAUGGCCAUCGCGGAUCAGCAUGUCGCGGUAGAUACGUUCGGGUCUUGUACCCACCGCCCGUCACACCAUCAAAUUGGGUUUACCAGAAGUAGUUAGCCCUAACCGUAAGGAGGCGAUUCUACAGUAGGAUUCAUGGCUGGGGUGAAGUCGUAACAAGGUAGCUCACUGUUCACUGAUGCUCUGAACAAC
RNAcentral lists this ribosomal RNA (1486 nucleotides) under uncultured Bordetella sp. Its description in RNAcentral is "partial 16S-23S ribosomal RNA intergenic spacer". It matches the Rfam family "Bacterial small subunit ribosomal RNA". The record is from RNAcentral. Lineage: Bacteria; Pseudomonadati; Pseudomonadota; Betaproteobacteria; Burkholderiales; Alcaligenaceae.